UUUAGCUUGUGUUCUUGAGUUUUGGUUUGGUUAUCUUUCAUUUUCCAGCAGCUGUUCUUAUUCUUUUCUGUUUUGGUUCGGUGCAUUUUAAUUUCCAGCACUUCUAAUUCAGUUUGCUUAUCUUUUGUUCCAUUUUGUUCGGUUCAAUUUGACUAUAAUUGGAACUUCCAUAUGAGUUUGGAAUUGGUGCUAGUUUUUGGAGAGUUCUUGACUUAGAACAAUGAUCCAAUUCUAAGAAAAAG
This 242-nucleotide long non-coding RNA is filed under the name Phaseolus vulgaris (common bean). Its description in RNAcentral is "long non-coding RNA (PVUL_LNC000229)". Lineage: Eukaryota; Viridiplantae; Streptophyta; Magnoliopsida; Fabales; Fabaceae. The record is from RNAcentral.